GACGAACGCUAGCUACAGGCUUAACACAUGCAAGUCGAGGGGAAACGACAGAGGAAGCUUGCUCCUUUGGGCGUCGACCGGCGCACGGGUGAGUAACGCGUAUCCAACCUUCCCGCAAGUAAGGGAUAACCCGUAGAAAUGCGGCCUAAUACCUUAUGUUUUCCUUAGAGGGCAUCUGAUGAGGAACAAAGAUCCGUCGCUUGCGGAUGGGGAUGCGUCUGAUUAGUUAGUCGGCGGGGUAACGGCCCACCGAGACGACGAUCAGUAGGGGUUCUGAGAGGAAGGUCCCCCACAUUGGAACUGAGACACGGUCCAAACUCCUACGGGAGGCAGCAGUGAGGAAUAUUGGUCAAUGGACGGAAGUCUGAACCAGCCAAGUAGCGUGCAGGACGACGGCCCUAUGGGUUGUAAACUGCUUUUAUGUGGGAAUAAAGUCAGGGACGUGUCCCUGUUUGCAUGUACCACAGGAAUAAGGACCGGCUAAUUCCGUG
RNAcentral lists this ribosomal RNA (491 nucleotides) under uncultured bacterium. RNAcentral's name for it is "bacterial SSU rRNA". It matches the Rfam family "Bacterial small subunit ribosomal RNA", at positions 28 to 507 of the family's 1533-position model. The record is from RNAcentral.